Molecule: ribosomal RNA, 253 nt
Filed under: uncultured bacterium
Lineage: Bacteria
Description: partial 16S ribosomal RNA
Rfam family: Bacterial small subunit ribosomal RNA
Source: RNAcentral
UACGGGGGGGGCAAGCGUUGUUCGGAAUUACUGGGCGUAAAGGGUUCGUAGGUGGCCAACUUAGUCAGACGUGAAAUCCCUCAGCUCAACUGGGGAACUGCGUCUGAUACUGGAUGGCUCGAGUGCAGGAGAGGAACGCGGAAUUCCAGGUGUAGCGGUGAAAUGCGUAGAUAUCUGGAGGAACACCGGUGGCGAAGGCGGCGUUCUGGACUGCAACUGACACUGAGGAACGAAAGCCAGGGGAGCAAACGGG